This 492-nucleotide ribosomal RNA is filed under the name uncultured bacterium. Its description in RNAcentral is "partial 16S ribosomal RNA". It matches the Rfam family "Bacterial small subunit ribosomal RNA", at positions 29 to 507 of the family's 1533-position model. The record is from RNAcentral.
AGUGAACGCUGGCGGUAGGCCUAACACAUGCAAGUCGAACGGCAGCACAGUAAGAGCUUGCUCUUACGGGUGGCGAGUGGCGGACGGGUGAGGAAUACAUCGGAAUCUACUUUUUCGUGGGGGAUAACGUAGGGAAACUUACGCUAAUACCGCAUACGACCUACGGGUGAAAGCAGGGGAUCUUCGGACCUUUCGCGAUUGAAUGAGCCGAUGUCGGAUUAGCUAGUUGGCGGGGUAAAGGCCCACCAAGGCGACGAUCCGUAGCUGGUCUGAGAGGAUGAUCAGCCAUAUGGGAACUGAGACACGGUCCAGACUCCUACGGGAGGCAGCAGUGGGGAAUAUUGGACAAAGGGCGCAAGCCUGAUCCAGCCAUACCGCGUGGGUGAAGAAGGACUUCGGGUUGUAAAGCCCUUUUGUUGGGAAAGAAAAGCAGCAGGUUAAUACCCCGCUGUUCUGACGGUACCCAAAGAAUAAGCACCGGCUAACUUCGUG